AAGCAGUGAGGACAUGUCCUUUACUGUUUAUAUAUUGUAAAUUCCAACAGUUACCAAAUCAAAAUAUACUUUAUUUUGCAAAUUGUUGCAUGUUUAUCUAGGGUGAAAGUUUGGUUGCCAAUGUAGCGAACAAAUUUUAAGGCUUUAAUUGUUACUGUUCUGCUGCUGCAGAACUGAUAUGUCAUCUUAGAUAAUUAUUCUAGUUUUAGCUUUAACUUGUUGCACUUUCAUGGUUUUUAUGGCAAAUAGCUUGAUAAGACUGUCUUGGUUCCUCAUGAUGUAUGCUUUAGGUUCAGGUUAUGUAGACACUG
This 311-nucleotide unclassified non-coding RNA is filed under the name Hevea brasiliensis (rubber tree). Lineage: Eukaryota; Viridiplantae; Streptophyta; Magnoliopsida; Malpighiales; Euphorbiaceae. The record is from RNAcentral.